GACGUUGGGAAAGCGAGCGGCGGAUGGGUGAGUAACACGUGGGGAACCUGCCCCUAAGUCUGGGAUACCAUUUGGAAACAGGUGCUAAUACCGGAUAAUAAAGCAGAUCGCAUGAUCAGCUUUUGAAAGGCGGCGUAAGCUGUCGCUAAGGGAUGGCCCCGCGGUGCAUUAGCUAGUUGGUAAGGUAACGGCUUACCAAGGCGACGAUGCAUAGCCGAGUUGAGAGACUGAUCGGCCACAUUGGGACUGAGACACGGCCCAAACUCCUACGGGAGGCAGCAGUAGGGAAUCUUCCACAAUGGACGCAAGUCUGAUGGAGCAACGCCGCGUGAGUGAAGAAGGUUUUCGGAUCGUAAAGCUCUGUUGUUGGUGAAGAAGGAUAGAGGUAGUAACUGGCCUUUAUUUGACGGUAAUCAACCAGAAAGUCACGGCUAACUACGUGCCAGCAGCCGCGGUAAUACGUAGGUGGCAAGCGUUGUCCGGAUUUAUUGGGCGUAAAGCGAGCGCAGGCGGAAAAAUAAGUCUAAUGUGAAAGCCCUCGGCUUAACCGAGGAACUGCAUCGGAAACUGUUUUUCUUGAGUGCAGAAGAGGAGAGUGGAACUCCAUGUGUAGCGGUGGAAUGCGUAGAUAUAUGGAAGAACACCAGUGGCGAAGGCGGCUCCCUGGUCUGCAACUGACGCUGAGGCUCGAAAGCAUGGGUAGCGAACAGGAUUAGAUACCCUGGUAGUCCAUGCCGUAAACGAUGAGUGCUAAGUGUUGGGAGGUUUCCGCCUCUCAGUGCUGCAGCUAACGCAUUAAGCACUCCGCCUGGGGAGUACGACCGCAAGGUUGAAACUCAAAGGAAUUGACGGGGGCCCGCACAAGCGGUGGAGCAUGUGGUUUAAUUCGAA
This 891-nucleotide ribosomal RNA is filed under the name uncultured bacterium. RNAcentral describes it as "bacterial SSU rRNA". It matches the Rfam family "Bacterial small subunit ribosomal RNA", at positions 79 to 955 of the family's 1533-position model. The record is from RNAcentral.